CUCUCUCUCUCUCUCUCUCUCUCUCUCUCUCUCUCUCUCGUGAACCUCUCUCUCCACUGAGUCUAGCCAUCUACAAUCGUUUAAUGAUGGCCAGCAAGAUCGGACUCUGUGACUCGACUCGUUCUCCAACUCAUUCCAGGGGAUCUCGAGCCUCUCGUCAUCGUCGUCGAAGACCUCGACGUGCAGCAAUAGAUUCAUUUCAUCCGGUCGUCAUCCAGGCUCCACCAGUUUGGGCUGAACGACAAGGCUCGCCGAUGAAGGACGGCGGGAACGAAGCCUAUUCUGGCUUUUGAGAUCUGAGCUUUUUGGGUUUGAUUUCGAUUCUUUUUCUGCUCCUGCAGGUGGCGUUACCAAUAUGGACGACGGGAACCAUAGAUCUGAAUCAUCCAAUACCCAAAUCGUUGAUCUGAAUCGUCCCACUACUGAUUCUUCCAUGUCUUCUGAGAUAGGGAUUUCGUACGCUCAUAGUCGGCGCAGAAGAGAGGGAGAUAGGGAUGGAGAGACAUUGGUACAAAGUGUUCGCAUAAUCGGUCGUUUAAGAACGAUGAGAGAAACAAGUUACUUCAAUUGGCUUUUGUGGAGCAGAAAAAGGCGGAUGAGAGUGUCUUGAGGCUGGUUGAAGAGCAAAAGAGGGAAAAAGAGGAUGCCUUGCAUAAAAUACUUCAGUUAGAAAAGAAAUUGAAUGACAAACAGAAGGUAGAAAUGGAAAUUGAAGAAUUAAAUGGUAAAUUAGAGGUGAUGAAGCAUCUUGGGGAUGAAGAUGAUGAAGCUGUUAAAAAGAAGAUUGAAGACAUGAAUCAAGAAUUGGGGGAAAAAGUUAAAGAGCUUGAGCAUUUGGAAAUACUGAAUCAAACUCUGAUCACCAAAGAGCGCCAGAGCAAUGAUGAGUUACAAGAAGCUCGUAAAGUGUUAAUAGCAAGCAUUGAGCGCUAUAGGAUUUGUCUAUGCAAAAAUAGCAGGCUCGCAAGAUUUGAACUGCUGAAAAAGUAACUGCACCGGAAGAACUG
Long non-coding RNA from Rosa chinensis, 1007 nucleotides. RefSeq lists it as uncharacterized. The transcript has 4 exons. NCBI's taxonomy places the organism in Eukaryota, Viridiplantae, Streptophyta, Magnoliopsida, Rosales, Rosaceae. The record is from RefSeq and is a predicted model, not a curated record.